CUUUGAAAUCAUGGUCAAAGGUUCCACUUCCCUAGUGACAGUCACUGUCGGGGAUGGAGACCUGCCUUGGACAGAAGUUGGCCUGGGAUUAUGCAAGUCUUUGAGCGCUUCCUCAAUUCAAAUGUGCAAACUUUGAAACUACAAUAGUGACCAAGAGGAAAUCUUUGACAUUAUUUGUUUCAAGGGGAAAUGAACAGGAUGUGCCAGGACCCCGCAUGAAAUGGAAUGAACAAAUGGGAGAUGUUCUCUGGAUUAAACAGCUUAAUCUUUGGCCUUUGGGACCUGGAUUUCCAAAGAAGAACAGUCUGCUCUUUACCUGUCCCACCCCACUUCUACAAGUGCCACGUGGGAAGAAGAAACAGAAAAAGCGGCAGGGGUCUGACAUAGCUGGUUGCCUAUUCAUGGGAGGUGACCCUAAAGCCUAGUCCUUGGGGUUUCAACCAACAAUGGUCUCUGCUCAUCCAACAGAUGUUGUGCAUGACUUCUUAGGGCCACUCUUCUGCCUCGCCUCACCCUCCUCCUUCACUGAGGAACCCUUCAUAGAGUGUCAACCACAUCCCCUUUCUGGUGACACCAGGGAUCUAAACCUUCUCUGAGUGGGCAAUCCUUUCACCUACCCACAGCUGCCAAAAAAAUUCCAUAUCUUCUGCCUCCUUCUCAACUCUAUGCACCUUCUUACAAAACCACAGGAACCCCUGAGGUCCUUGUGUGAGGCUUCUGAUGGAUUAGCAGCCUGUCCCCCAUUUUCUUCACAUGUGUCCAAAACAAGGGCUGCCACACAUGUCGUGAUUCAUCUGCUCUAGUGAGGUCUCCGGUCUCUGCCUGAUGAAAUCACCACAUGAGACUAAGCUCUAGUCUUCUUGUUAUGUUUGACCCCUUCACUGUAAAGAACACACAUCAGCCUCUCCCAGCAUGUCCCUCACCUUCUGUUUCAGGUGUCGUGCUGGGAGGCCUCUGCCAGUUAGCUGCUUAGUGAGCAUUUAGUCAAGAAUGAGGUGCCUGGUAUCCCCUUCUUGCAAGUCACAUCUUCCUCUUCUAACCUCUUCCUUUCUCUAAUGCAGAGCUAGUUGUCUGCGAUGGUCCAUGCUUCCCCUCUCACAUCCCUGGGAGACCACAACCCGAGCAGACUAAGCAUCAGAGCCCCACUGGCUUGUAGGUGGGAUUGUAUGACUUAGUCUGACACAUAGAAUGGGCUGGUGACUUCUCGCUUUCUCUUCCUCAUCUGUCACUUGAAUCAGAAGACUGGUAUGCCCUGAGCAAUGAUCAGAGUACAGCUCACAAGGAGUUUUGGUUCUUUGGACUUCACAGAAGAAAACCACCUUCUGGUGAAUGCACACACAGACUUUGUGUGCGCAAGAAUAAAAACCGCUAUUGUGUUAA
This is a long non-coding RNA of Phyllostomus hastatus (greater spear-nosed bat), 1380 nucleotides long. RefSeq lists it as uncharacterized. The record is from RefSeq and is a predicted model, not a curated record. The transcript is spliced from 3 exons. Lineage: Eukaryota; Metazoa; Chordata; Mammalia; Chiroptera; Phyllostomidae.